CUACGGGGCGCAGCAGUGGGGAAUAUUGCGCAAUGGGCGAAAGCCUGACGCAGCAACGCCGCGUGAGGGAGGAAGGUUUUCGGAUUGUAAACCUCUGUCAAUGUGGAAGAACGGACAUUGGUCUAAUAGGCCAGUGUUUUGACGGUACACAUAAAGGAAGCACCGGCUAACUUCGUGCCAGCAGCCGCGGUAAUACGAAGGGUGCAAACGUUGUUCGGAUUUAUUGGGCGUAAAGCGCGCGCAGGCGGAAUGGUAAGUCAGAUGUGAAAUCUCGGGGCUCAACCCCGAAACCGUGUCUGAAACUACUUUUCUCGAAUCAUGCAGGGGAAGGCGGAAUUUCACAUGUAGGGGUAAAAUCCGUAGAGAUGUGAAGGAACACCAGAGGCGAAGGCGGCCUUCUGGGCAUGUAUUGACGCUGAGGCGCGAAAGCGUGGGGAGCAAACAGGAUUAGAUACCCCCGUAGUC
This 465-nucleotide ribosomal RNA is filed under the name uncultured bacterium. RNAcentral describes it as "partial 16S ribosomal RNA". It matches the Rfam family "Bacterial small subunit ribosomal RNA", at positions 339 to 795 of the family's 1533-position model. The record is from RNAcentral.